Molecule: ribosomal RNA, 484 nt
Filed under: uncultured bacterium
Lineage: Bacteria
Description: partial 16S ribosomal RNA
Rfam family: Bacterial small subunit ribosomal RNA
Source: RNAcentral
AUUGAACGCUGGCGGCAGGCCUAACACAUGCAAGUCGAGCGGAUGAAGGGAGCUUGCUCCUGGAUUCAGCGGCGGACGGGUGAGUAAUGCCUAGGAAUCUGCCUGGUAGUGGGGGAUAACGUCCGGAAACGAGCGCUAAUACCGCAUACGUCCUGAGGGAGAAAGUGGGGGAUCUUCGGACCUCACGCUAUCAGAUGAGCCUAGGUCGGAUUAGCUAGUUGGUGGGGUAAAGGCCUACCAAGGCGACGAUCCGUAACUGGUCUGAGAGGAUGAUCAGUCACACUGGAACUGAGACACGGUCCAGACUCCUACGGGAGGCAGCAGUGGGGAAUAUUGGACAAUGGGCGAAAGCCUGAUCCAGCCAUGCCGCGUGUGUGAAGAAGGUCUUCGGAUUGUAAAGCACUUUAAGUGGGGAGGAAGGGCAGUAAGUUAAUACCUUGCUGUUUUGACGUUACCAACAGAAUAAGCACCGGCUAACUUCGUG